RNAcentral lists this long non-coding RNA (370 nucleotides) under Citrus maxima (pomelo). Its description in RNAcentral is "long non-coding RNA (CMAX_LNC001000)". The record is from RNAcentral. Lineage: Eukaryota; Viridiplantae; Streptophyta; Magnoliopsida; Sapindales; Rutaceae.
GGGGAACUGGAGACGCAAGGAUUCAAGACAGAGAAGAAAAUCUGCAGCAAUUCGGCUUCCCCAUGGCUGAAUUUAUUUAUUUUGUUGCUCCCAAUUCAAGUAUGUCUAGCUAAUUUUCUUAUACUGAGGUUAAGGAUGAAACCCUAUUCAAUGAAAUAAUUAUAUCUUUUUAUUUAAUUAAUUCCCUAUAUAUGUUCUUUGAUGAUUAUGGUUUUUAUUUCACAUGAUUAAUUGGAUGUUAAUAAAAUCUUUUCAUCAAUUCUGUCAUGCAUUAUUGAUUGUUAGGAUUAAUAUUCGAUUAAUUCUAUGCUUGGAUCUAUAAAGUUUAUACAUGAUUAUCUUUGAUUUUAUGUCUUUCAUUAAAUUGUUU